This 3106-nucleotide long non-coding RNA is filed under the name Homo sapiens (human). RNAcentral describes it as "HSALNT0255879". Lineage: Eukaryota; Metazoa; Chordata; Mammalia; Primates; Hominidae. The record is from RNAcentral.
AGGUGCUUGAGCUGGGGAGGUCAAGGAAGCAGGACUGUUUGAGGCCAGGAGCCAGAGACCAGCCUGGGCAACAUAACGAGACCUAACCUCUGUAAAAAAUAAAAAAUUAGCCAGGUGUGCUGGUGGGCAAUUGUAGUCUUAGCUACUUGAGAGGCGGAGGUGCUUGAGCUGGGGAGGUCAAGGCUGCAGUAAGCCAUCAUCGCACCACUGCUCUAGGCUGGGUCACAGAGCAAGAUACUGUCUCAAAAAAAAAAAAAAUUGUUGUAUCUCAUACAUCAGCCUUCUAUGGAAAACAUAAUCCUGUUACAUUUAUUUGCCUUUUGCCUAUACAAGUGUUAGGGAAGCAGGUGCCUAGGGGAGCCAGAGUAACACCAAUUUAAGUUCAGCUCCAUCUUGACACUAACAAGAAACACUCCUUGUCAGUCACAACCCAUGAUCACAAAAUGUUUCCCAUGAAGAAAACAGCCUGAAGAUGCCUGCAAGUAUCCUUACACUCCCACAACAAUAGAAUGUCCUGAUGUCCCAAUACCUAUAACAAUAUGUGCUUUCAAGAUAAUUAUAGUUAUGUUUUAAUGCACUUGGGUGCUAAAAUGUAAAGGAUAGUUUUCUUUAAAUCAACAGAGUAAUAAAUUUUGUGAUGCUGUCAGCCCACAUGCACAUAGGCACAGGUAGUUUAUUCUUUACAUAGAAAAGAUCCCUACAUAAGAAAAACUUAAAGACAGUACGUUCCUCCACUUGCUGUAUGAGGAUGCCCUACUCUGAAACAGAGAAGCUUUUUCUUUCUUUUUCCUUUUCUAUUUAUUUAUUUAUUUAUUUAUUUAUUUAUUUAUUUAUUUAAAUAGAGACAGGGUCUCGCUGUGUUGGCCAGGUUGGUCUUGACCUCUUUCCUGUUUGUUUUGGUUUUUGAGAUGGGGUCUCACUCUGUUACCCACACUGGAGUGCAGUGGUACAUCCUCGGCUGGGCUGCAACCUCUGCCUCUGGGGUUCAAGUGAUUCUCUCACAUCAGCCUCCUGAACACCUGGGACUACAGGUGCAGGCCACCACACCCGGCUAAUUUUUGCUAGUUUUGGAAGAGAUGGGGUUUCACUAUGUUGCCCAGGCUGGUCUCGAACUCCUGACCUCAAGUUAUCCUCCCACCUUGGCCUCCCAAAGUGCUUGGAUUACAGGCCUAAGCCAUCAUGCUGGCCCAGAGUAGCUUUCAAUAAACUCUCUUCUCACUGCACUUUGUGACUCGUCUUGAAUUCCUUCCUGUGUGAGAUUCAAGAACUCUCCUGGGGUCUGAUCAGGACCUCUUUUCCUGGUAAUACAAGCAAGAACUUAACUUCCAGUUUUGGAGUACUGAGUCUAUUUCCCUAGAGUCUGUGUUUUUCCCAAAUGGGCCACUGCUAUCCUUCCGCUUGAAUAAACUCUUCCAACUGAAAUCUUGACCUUUCUAUUAUUUCGGAGUGACAAGUCCAAAUAAGGCAACUGCAUCUCUGCAACCAAUCAAGCAUUUAUCUGGUUUGUCUCCUCACGUAACUUAUAAAAGCUUACCCCUAAACUGGUAAACUAAAAAUAAAAACAUACCUCUGGCCCGGCGAGAUGGCUCACAUCUGUAAUCCCAGCACUUUGGGAGGCUGAGGUGGGUGGAUCACUUGAGGUCAGGAGUUCGAGACCAGCCUGGCCAACAUGGUGAAACCCCAUCUCUACUAAAAAUACAAAAAUUAGGAGGGCAUAGUGGUGCAUGCCUGCAAUCCCAGCUACUCAGGAGGCUGAGGCAGGAGAAUCACUUGAACCCGGAAGGUGGAGGUUGCAGUGAGCCGAGAUCAGGCCAUUGCACUCCAGUCUGGGCGACAGGAGACUCCGUCUCAAAUAAAAACAAAGUACCUUUCCAGCUAAGUGAAGUGACCGGCUCUUGGCCAACAGGACCCGCAAAAAACCCUGAAAAUUGAGUGCCUCUGUAUGACAGGAUGGGAGGUGAGACAGGUCUCCUUAUACCCUCUCCCACACAUUCAUGUAAAAAUAGAUAGAAUGGAAAAACAGACUGCUUGUGGCAAGAAGAUACUAACUUACAAACAAAACCUAAGGCCACGCAAGGCAAAAGUAAAGUCACGCCUCAGAAUUCAUAAAAUCUAGAGAAACAGGUCUGUUUUCUGGCUGGGAUGGAAUCAAGUGGCAGAUAACAGACCCCCUUCCUUCCUACCUCCUCCAAACUUUAGACAAACUUCACACUCUCAACCAGCUGCCACCUACAGAAUCCCUCAACCACCUGUGCCUUCUAACCCCCCUUCCACAGGUCCCACCCUUUCUGCCAAUGGAACUUACACCUUUCAGGCACUGAUUCAUCAUUUUCCCUGCAAUUCCUGUCUCUCUGAAAUGAAUAAAACCAAACUGUCUUGAGCCGCCUCGGGACCACUUACUCCAGGCUGCUUGGGGUUGUGUUUCCCUCGGCCAAGGUCUCUCCUAUUCGGCUCUGAAUAAACUUCUUUAUUUUACAUAGUUUGGCUUUUUCCGUUGACAAACCACAACCCAGGACGGGGUGUUUCUCAUUCGUGAAUCGCUGUUUGCUCAAAUGAACUCUUUAAUUGUUAACGUACCUCAGUUUAAUUUUUAACAGGAGAAAGUGGGGACUGGGGGCCCCACAGACCACUGCUCCUCCCACGCACGAACCCCACACCCGAGUCAGGAUGCCUCCAUGACCCUCCCGUUGCUUCCGCACAAUCUGGGGAGACGCGGGGCUGCGGGAGCGGAACUGCCCAGAGAGGGCUCCGGGGCAGGGGCCGCGGCCGCAGUCGCCGCGCAGGGACGGGACAGGACGCCCGGGUCCUGGCUGCUGGCCCAGCCCCGUCCAGCGGCCAAGGGGACCGAGGGCCGAACUGCUCAAGGAGGACUCGGUCCCAGACCCCGGAGUCGCCCACAGGGAGGCCCGGGUCCCGCCACAGCCGGUUCCCGCCUGUUCCAGGCAGCCCCUCCCCCGUCUCACGACAUCUGGUCCCGCACACGCACCAUUUCCCGGCUUUCAGAUGUACCGGGGUCCUCUCUACAGCUCCUGUGACUACAGCAGGGCAUAGCGCAGGCGACAGAGCGACAGAAGCCUGGGUACAGGCACCAGGUCCCUCUCGGGCU